CGUCGGGGCAUGGGGGGGGCUUGGGGUGGAGCGGGGGCCCCGGGGGGGCUCUAACCACCUGUAUCUCCCCAGGCCCCCGUCCUGUGAGCCCCACAACAGCUUCAUGCUGCUGACGCGGCCCAGGUCCCCCUCUCGCACCCCGAUCAAGCAGCAGCCGGUGCCCUCAGCAGAGCCGUUCCUGUCCAUCCCGAGGUCGCCACAAGCCCCUCAGAGCCGCAAGGUCUCCUUCACCCAGCCAGAACCGGACAACGACAGCGUGCCCAGCUACGAGAACGAGGGCGAGGCGGGCGGCCAUCCCCGGGGCGCCUGGCCGCGGGCCCCAUCCCCUGCCCCGCUGGCAGCCCCUGAGAGCGAGGAUGACUACAACAACGAGCUCUACGCCACCGGCUACGUCGAGGUGCUCCCGGAYGGCGCGGCCCAGCCCAGCCCGCCCCAGCAACCCCAGGCCAGGGACAGCGGCUCCUCCGCGGCGCCCGGUGAGGAGUAUGAGAACGUCCCCGACGCCCACCGCCAGUCCCUAGCUGACAGCCUGGAGUACGUCAAUGUCCCCGAGGCCGGGGCCAGCCCCACGCCCCGCUACGGUGAGCAUUUUGGGGCCGCUUGGGCCUGCCCCGUGGCGGCUGAGGACCCCCCCCAUGACUACGGGCGGCCUGACACGAGCCAGGCCCCCCCUCACUGCGGGGCACCCCUCUGUCCCCUGCAGCCAGCGAGAGCGAGGAGGACGCCCCAGACUACGAGAACCUGCAGCGCUGAGCACCAGGUAAACCCCGGCCGGCACCGCGUCAGCACCGCGCACCCCACACCCGGCCCCCCCGCCCCGCCCCGGUCCCUCGGGCCCAAGUGAUCCUGGUCUCUCUCACAGGCGCCGCCGGCCACGGCCCCGCACCAGCGCCAGGACCGGCGGCUGGAGUCCCUUGGAACCAGCCGGGCCCCCCCGACCCUGUUAAUUUAUUGCAUCCCCCCGUCUGUGCACCUUCUUCUGACACAUCCUGAGAAGCACCCCCCGCUGGCCCCCGGCCCUGACCCGGGGGCCCGGGGGUCCCCAUGCCCCGACCCGGGGCCCCCGUCCCCCCAUAACGCUGAAUAAAGCCGUGGGAGCCGCACCGAGCUGUGCCUGG
This 1118-nucleotide long non-coding RNA is filed under the name Dromaius novaehollandiae (emu). RNAcentral describes it as "lncRNA (ENSDNVG00000009627.1)". The record is from RNAcentral. Lineage: Eukaryota; Metazoa; Chordata; Aves; Casuariiformes; Dromaiidae.